CUUUGUGUAUUGUCAGUGGUAGACGGCUCGCCUUGGAAGCGAGAAGCGCAGGUUCGAAUCCUGUCACGAAGACCA
RNAcentral lists this transfer RNA (75 nucleotides) under Methanobrevibacter sp. Its description in RNAcentral is "tRNA-Pro". It matches the Rfam family "tRNA". From Rfam's summary of the family: Transfer RNA (tRNA) molecules are approximately 80 nucleotides in length. The record is from RNAcentral. Lineage: Archaea; Methanobacteriati; Methanobacteriota; Methanobacteria; Methanobacteriales; Methanobacteriaceae.